GGACUACAGGGGUAUCUAAUCCUGUUCGCUCCCCACGCUUUCGCUUACUCAGCGUCAGUUACUGCCCAGAGACCCGCCUUCGCCACCGGUGUUCCUCCUGAUAUCUGCGCAUUCCACCGCUACACCAGGAAUUCCAGUCUCCCCUGCAGCACUCCAGUCUGCCCGUAUCGCCCGCACGCUCACAGUUAAGCUGUGAAAUUUCACGAACAACGCGACAAACCGCCUACAAGCUCUUUACGCCCAGUAAUUCCGGACAACGCUCGCACCCUACGUAUUACCGCGGCUGCUGGCAC
RNAcentral lists this ribosomal RNA (293 nucleotides) under uncultured bacterium. Its description in RNAcentral is "partial 16S ribosomal RNA". The record is from RNAcentral.